GCCCGUUACACACCCGUCCCAUGGCCACUCACCCCUUUACACUCACAGCACACCCCCCUACUACCCCUGGUGCCCAUUGCACACCCAUUGCACCCUUGUUACCCUUUGCACACCCAUUGCACAACCCUUACCCUUUGCACACCCGUUGCACACACCCCCAUUGCAUGCCUGUUCCCCAUGACACACCCUUUGCACACCCACUACACACCCUUUACACACCCUUUGCACAACCAUCACGCAUCUGUUACACCAUUUGCCCUUUGUAUACCCAUUACACACCCUUUAUACCCUCUUUACACACUCAUUACACAACCUUUGCACCCCAUUACCCCACACAACCUGUUAAACCCCCUUUGCACACCCAUUACCCUCUGCACAGCCAUUACACACCCUUUGCACCUCCAUUGCACCCCCAUUGCAGCCCUGUUACCCUUUGCACUCCCAUUACACCUGUUACCCUUUGCACCCGUUGCACACCCAUUACCCAUCACACACCCAUUACACCCACACUACAGCCCCACUGCCCAUUGCACACUCGUUCUACCCUCCUGUUACCCACUGCACCCUCAUUGCACACCCAUUACACCCCCAUUACAGCCCCGUUACCCGUUGCACACCCGUUCCACCCUCCCGUUACCCUUCGCACCCCCGUUGCACACCCAUGUUGCACACCCAUUACCCAUCACACACCCAUUACACCCACACUACAGCCCCACUGCCCAUUGCACACUCGUUCUACCCUCCUGUUACCCACUGCACCCCCAUUGCACACACCCACUACACCCCCGUUACAGCCCCCCGUUACCCUUCGUACUCCCAUUGCACACUUGUUAACCAUUGCACACCCGUUACACCCCCCUGUUACCCUUUUGCACCCCAUUGCACACCUGCUACACCCCCAUUACAGCCCCAUUACCCGUUGCACACCCGUCCCCCCGUUACCCUUCACACCCCUGUUGCACACCCAUUACAGCCCCGUAACCUGUUGCAUCCCCGUUGUGCCCUCCCAUUACCCUUCGCACCCCCAUUGCACACCCGUUCCCUGUUGCACCCCGAUUACACUCCCCCAUUAUCCUUUGCACCCCCGUUGCACCCCCGUUACCCAUUGCACACCCAUUACCCCCUCAUUACGGCCCCGUUACCCGUUGCACCCCCGUUCCACCUCCUCGUUCAACCCCCCCGUUACCCUUCGCACCCCCGUUGCACACCCGUUCCAGCCCCCUGUUACCCUUCG
This 1234-nucleotide long non-coding RNA is filed under the name Calidris pugnax (ruff). Its description in RNAcentral is "lncRNA (ENSCPUG00000011947.1)". The record is from RNAcentral. Lineage: Eukaryota; Metazoa; Chordata; Aves; Charadriiformes; Scolopacidae.